CUCACGUGUAAUAAAUGACUCAUUUAUCCUUUUUCUCAACUGAGGUCCCUUUCCUUCAUUUUCUUCUGUAAAUACAGAACAAAAAUAUUCAUUGAGGCAGUCAGCCUGACCUUUAUCCUCUUCUGCAUACCUUCCUUCUUUUGUUUUUAAUCUAACUAAUCCUUGUUUUACUUUUCUUUUCUCAUUUAUGUAUCUAAAAAAAGUUUU
Non-coding RNA from Pelobates cultripes (western spadefoot toad), 207 nucleotides. NCBI's taxonomy places the organism in Eukaryota, Metazoa, Chordata, Amphibia, Anura, Pelobatidae. The record is from the annotation of a GenBank genome assembly.